GACCAAGCGACUAAGGGCGCACGGUGGAUGCCUUGGUAGGAGCAGGCGAUGAAGGGCGUAGCAAGCUGCGAUAAGCUUCGGGGAGCCGCUAGCAGGCGUUAAUCCGGAGAUUCCCGAAUGGGGAAACCCAUCUCGAGUCAUGUCGAGAUAUCCAACGCUGAAUUAAUAGGUGUUGGAGGCGAACCUGGUGAACUGAAACAUCUUAGUAGCCAGAGGAAGAGAAAGUAAAAACGAUUCCCUGAGUAGCGGUGAGCGAAAGGGGAGUAGCCUAAACCGAUUCAUACGUGGAUCGGGGUUGUGGGGCGCAAGCCAUGGUACCUCGAGCGGUAGGCGAAGCGACUGGAAAGUCGCGCCAUAGAGAGUGAUAGUCUCGUAGCCGAAAUCGUAAGAGGGCCUAUUGCGUACCCGAGUAGCGCGGGGCACGUGGAAUCCUGCGUGAAUCUGGGAGGACCAUCUCCUAAGGCUAAAUACUCGCUCCUGACCGAUAGUGAACCAGUACCGUGAGGGAAAGGUGAAAAGUACCCCGAGAGGGGAGUGAAAUAGUACCUGAAACCGUGUGCCUACAAGCAGUGGAAGCACCAUGUACAACAGGUGUGACCGCGUGCCUUUUGCAUAAUGAGCCUGCGAGUUACUGUAUGUAGCAAGGUUAAGCGGAAGCGAAGCCGUAGCGAAAGCGAGUCUGAAUAGGGCGCUUGAGUUGCAUGCAGUAGACCCGAAGCCGGGUGAGCUAUCCAUGGUCAGGUUAAAGUCACGGUAAAACGUGAUGGAGGACCGAACCGUAGUAGGUUGAAAACUGCCCGGAUGAACCGUGGAUAGGAGCGAAAGACCAAUCAAACUCGGCUAUAGCUGGUUCUCCCCGAAAUAGCUUUAGGGCUAGCGUCGCGUGAAUGUUCGAGGUGGUAGAGCACUGAAUGGGCUAGGGGCCCCACCAGGUUACCAACCCCAAUCAAACUCCGAAUGCCUCGAAACAAUGCGCGGCAGUCAGUCGGCGAAUGAUAACGUCCGUCGUCGAGAGGGCAACAACCCAGACCGUCAGCUAAGGUCCCCAAUCAUAGGCUAAGUGGUAAACGUUGUGGGAACGCGUAGACAGCCAGGAGGUUGGCUUAGAAGCAGCCAUUCCUUCAAAGAGUGCGUAAUAGCUCACUGGUCGAGUGGGCCUGCGCGGAAAAUGUAACGGGGCUAAAGCCUAUAACCGAAGCUGCGGAUCGUGCACUGCACGAUGGUAGGGGAGCAUUCUGUCACAGGUGAAGCUGUACCGAAAGGAGCAGUGGAUGUGGCUGAAGAGAUUCUGCAGGCAUAAGUAACGAAAAAGCUAAUGAGAAAUUAGCUCGCCGAAAACCCAAGGGUUCCUAUCCGACGUUAAUCAGGAUAGGGUUAGUCGGUCCCUAAGCCGAGGCCGAAAGGCGUAGGUAAUGGGAAACAGGUUAAUAUUCCUGUACCACUCUUCCACCGUUAUUACCGACGGGGGGACGCAGAAGGGCAGGCCAUCCGGGUGUUGGACGUCCCGGUUCAAGCGUGUAGGGGGGUGCGGUAGGCAAAUCCGCCGCAUCAACUCCGAGGCGUGAUGACGAGGUCGUAAUGACCAUAAAGUGGCUGAUCCCAUGCUGCCUAGAAAAGCCUCUAGGGAGGAGGAAGGGUGACCGUACCGUAAACCGACACAGGUGGGUGAGGAGAGUAUCCUAAGGCGCUUGGGCGAACUCUGGUUAAGGAACUCGGCAAAUUGACUCCGUAACUUCGGGAUAAGGAGUGCUCCUAUUAGGUGAAGGCCCUUGCGGCCGGAGCUGAAGGGAGUUGCAGAGGAGAAGGGGUAGCGACUGUUUACUAAAAACACAGGUCUCUGCAAAGUCGCAAGACGAUGUAUAGGGGCUGAUGCCUGCCCGGUGCCGGAAGGUUAAGGAGAUGGGUUAGCCCUCGGGCGAAGCCCGGAACUGAAGCCCCGGUAAACGGCGGCCGUAACUAUAACGGUCCUAAGGUAGCGAAAUUCCUUGUCGGGUAAGUUCCGACCUGCACGAAUGGCAUAACGACUUCCCCACUGUCUCAACCAGAGGCCCAGUGAAAUUGAAUUGCCGGUGAAGAUGCCGGCUACCCGCGACUAGACGGAAAGACCCCAUGAACCUUUACUAUAGCUUGACAGUGAUUUUAGGCCUGGUGUGUGUAGGAUAGGUGGGAGACUUUGAAGCGUGGGCGCUAGCCUGCGUGGAGUCGCCCUUGAAAUACCACCCUCACCAUGUUUGAAAUCUAACCUAGGUCCGUGAAACCGGAUCAGGGACACUGUCUGGUGGGUAGUUUGACUGGGGCGGUCACCUCCAAAACUGUAACGGAGGUGCGCGAUGGUUCCCUCAGGCUGGUCGGAAAUCAGCCGUCGAGCGUAAAGGCAUAUGGGAGCCUGACUGCGAGACAUACAAGUCGAGCAGGUGCGAAAGCAGGUCUUAGUGAUCCGGCGGUCCCGUGUGGAAGGGCCGUCGCUCAACGGAUAAAAGGUACUCUGGGGAUAACAGGCUUAUCUCCCCCAAGAGUUCACAUCGACGGGGAGGUUUGGCACCUCGAUGUCGGCUCAUCGCAUCCUGGAGCUGAAGCAGGUUCCAAGGGUUGGGCUGUUCGCCCAUUAAAGCGGUACGCGAGCUGGGUUUAAAACGUCGUGAGACAGUUUGGUCCCUAUCUGUCGUGGGCGCUGGAGAUUUGAGGAGAGCUGCUCCUAGUACGAGAGGACCGGAGUGGACGAACCUAUGGUGUACCAGUUGUGACGCCAGUCGCAUCGCUGGGUAGCUAUGUUCGGAAGGGAUAACCGCUGAACGCAUCUAAGCGGGAAGCCCACUUCAAGAUGAGAUCUCCCGGACCUUUAAGGUCCCUAAAGACCCCUCGUAGACCACGAGGUUGAUAGGCGGGGUGUGGAAGCGUGGCAACACGUGGAGCUGACCCGUACUAAUCGGUCGUGAGGCUUGGUCAUA
Molecule: ribosomal RNA, 2948 nt
Filed under: Nitrospirae bacterium CG2_30_70_394
Lineage: Bacteria; Pseudomonadati; Nitrospirota
Also listed under: 6 other names
Description: 23S ribosomal RNA
Rfam family: Bacterial large subunit ribosomal RNA
Source: RNAcentral